RNAcentral lists this ribosomal RNA (253 nucleotides) under uncultured bacterium. Its description in RNAcentral is "partial 16S ribosomal RNA". It matches the Rfam family "Bacterial small subunit ribosomal RNA", at positions 524 to 776 of the family's 1533-position model. The record is from RNAcentral.
UACGUAGGGGGCUAGCGUUGUCCGGAUUUAUUGGGCGUAAAGAGCGUGUAGGCGGCCAGGUAGGUCUGCUGUGAAAACUCGAGGCUCAACCUCGAGACGUCGGUGGAAACCGUUUGGCUAGAGUCCGGAAGAGGAGAGUGGAAUUCCCGGUGUAGCGGUGAAAUGCGCAGAUAUCGGGAGGAACACCAAUUGCGAAGGCAGCUCGCUGGGACGUCACUGACGCUGAGACGCGAAAGCGUGGGGAGCAAACAGG